CAGCAUUCAAGCACUGCAAAAAGCCUACUCGGCCCCAGCUAAAAGCUCAGGCUCAAUAUGGUUAUUUCCAGCUCCGUGGGCAGAUGAAGACAUUUCUGGUGUGCUCCCAUUUCUGGAGGUGCCCUGAAAGGAUGACUGUGUUGGCAGCACUCUUCCUGACUCCACUAAAUGCAAGGCUGCAGAUAAGCCAUAUGAAACACACUUAGGUCACUGACCAGACCGGGCUGAUGAAUAUUACAGCAACAACCUGAAAUGUAAGCAAUAACAUUGCAUGCAGCACCUUUUGCCUUCAUUACAACAGCUACUAGAACGAGACCUCCAUUUUUCACCUCUCCUAAUUCCUUCUAGCAGGGAUAUGCUCAGAACAGGGCCUGACCCUUCCUCUCCUGAAGCCCCACCAGUGCUCACCGUGAAGAACUGCAUGCUGUGAGUGCUGCCAGGCAUCUGCAGCCAAAGGAGGCUCCUGUGUACCACGGAGAGGUAAGGGCAGACCUGGGGCUGUGGUGGCCAGAAAGGCUCUCACAAGGAGACAGUGAGGGCUGUAAACCCAGUCUGCAGUGACCUCCUCCUUGGCAUAGCUUCUUCCAGCACUGCUGCACACUCCCACUGACCCCGUGUGAGGCAGUAGCUGCUAGUCCUGCUCUGCUGCCCAAUUGUGAAAGAAGUGCUGGAGCUGGAGCAGCAGCUGCAGCCCUCUGCUCAACCAUGCUGGGCCCAACCUGGUCUCAUUCGCGUGUUCCUGCUUCAGCCAUGGCCCUGCUCACUGCUCGUUGGGCCCUGCAGCUCCCCCACCACACAUCUUGCCUUUGUAAAGCACAGAAGCAAGACAGGAGAGAAUUACAUGCUAAAAAAGAUGAGGAGCACCUUCAUCUCCUGGAGUUUGGGAGUUACUAACAUUGAGGAAGAGGUUAGAUUUAACCACUUAGAGAUACAGUUUGCAGCUGGAUGAAAAUGCAUAGUUUAUAC
RNAcentral lists this long non-coding RNA (966 nucleotides) under Gallus gallus (chicken). RNAcentral's name for it is "long non-coding RNA NONGGAT004433". Lineage: Eukaryota; Metazoa; Chordata; Aves; Galliformes; Phasianidae. The record is from RNAcentral.